AGACGAACCGGACAAACGUUAUUCGGAAUUACUGGGCUUAAAGGGUGCGUAGGCGGCGCGGAAGGUGGGAUGUGAAAGCCCUCGGCUCAACCGAGGAAUUGCGUUCCAAACCACCGUGCUCGAGGGAGACAGAGGUGAGCGGAACUUGCAGUGGAGCGGUGAAAUGCGUUGAUAUUGCAAGGAACACCAGUAGCGAAGGCGGCUCACUGGGUCUCUUCUGACGCUGAGGCACGAAAGCUAGGGGAGCGAACGGGAUUAGAAACCCCAGUAGUCC
RNAcentral lists this ribosomal RNA (274 nucleotides) under uncultured bacterium. RNAcentral's name for it is "partial 16S ribosomal RNA". It matches the Rfam family "Bacterial small subunit ribosomal RNA", at positions 523 to 796 of the family's 1533-position model. The record is from RNAcentral.